GACGAACGCUGGCGGCGUGCUUAACACAUGCAAGUCGAACGGAAAGGCCCUGCUUUUGUGGGGUGCUCGAGUGGCGAACGGGUAAGUAACACGUGAGUAACCUGCCCUUGACUUUGGGAUAACUUCAGGAAACUGGGGCUAAUACCGGAUAGGAGCUCCUGCUGCAUGGUGGGGGUUGGAAAGUUUCGGCGGUUGGGGAUGGACUCGCGGCUUAUCAGCUUGUUGGUGGGGUAGUGGCUUACCAAGGCUUUGACGGGUAGCCGGCCUGAGAGGGUGACCGGCCACAUUGGGACUGAGAUACGGCCCAGACUCCUACGGGAGGCAGCGGUGGGGAAUAUUGCACAAUGGGCGGAAGCCUGAUGCAGCAACGCCGCGUGCGGGAUGACGGCCUUCGGGUUGUAAACCGCUUUCGCCUGUGACGAAGCGUGAGUGACGGUAAUGGGUAAAAAAGCACCGGCUAACUACGUG
This 468-nucleotide ribosomal RNA is filed under the name uncultured bacterium. RNAcentral's name for it is "partial 16S ribosomal RNA". It matches the Rfam family "Bacterial small subunit ribosomal RNA", at positions 28 to 507 of the family's 1533-position model. The record is from RNAcentral.